RNAcentral lists this long non-coding RNA (817 nucleotides) under Oreochromis niloticus (Nile tilapia). Its description in RNAcentral is "lncRNA (ENSONIG00000039727.1)". Lineage: Eukaryota; Metazoa; Chordata; Actinopteri; Cichliformes; Cichlidae. The record is from RNAcentral.
AUGACUUUCAAUACUGUCGGGAUGGAAACGGUUUCAAGAUAUUUGGACAUCAACCGGACCUUCACCCUAAUAUGCUGCUUCUCCUCCAUUUUCUUGCAAGCAGAAGGGAGCACCACUUCCUGGAUGGUCGGGAGCACAGUGACCCUGCACUGUAGCAAUAACUCAAUCAGCGACCUCCUUCAACUGACAUGGAGAAGGAAUGGGACUCUUCUGUUUAGUUUCAGGCCACAGAAAACCUCAAACAACAGCUCUGUCACCUUAAGCAGUAAUCAGAAAACAUCAGACAGCAGAAUAAUAGGGUCUCAUGCAGCUGCCAUCCUGAAUCUAAGCAUAUCCACCUUAAAAAGCCAACUGUAUGCACUAAUCAUAGAGGGAGCCCAGAAAUAUCACGAAGGAAACUACAUUUGUGAAAUGACCACAGACUCAGGAGUCUUUGAACAGAAAUGGGAGCUCAUGAUUACAGAAGAAGCUGAAGCUGGAAAUAAAUUGAAAAUCCAUAUUGCUGCAAUCAUGGUACCUUGUGUGUGUUUCCUGAUCUUUAUCAUUUGUGCUUUGACCUUUCUGAGACAAAUCUGCAAAAGACAGUCAGAAAAUAUCACCCAACUGACUGUGACAUUGGUAAAUAGAAUACUUUCCCUACUCUCUGCUGAGAAGUUAGAUUUUAGACAAUUUGCAGAUACAUAUUUGAAAAUCCAACAGAUCUGCCAUCCUCUCCAUUUUAGGCAAUACUGAACCAGCUGAACUCGUUCAAAAGUGUUUCAGCUCCACAAGCACCAGGACGGCUACAGAAAAUCUUUACCACCACAUACAAUAAACC